UCAUUUGACCAUCAAGGAAUCUGAUGCCCGGAGAAGUUAGUGGAUCUGUCCUGUCACAGUGGUUUGAAUCCAUGUCUGUACAGUCUAAGCCUCCCUGCCCAUUCAUGGGUGGGGCAGCUCUGAGGUGAGUGUUGGUGGGGCAGGCCGACCAGAAAGUGAGCGCAUGAGUGGAACAGGAGCGUUGCUCAGCCUCUCCUGGCCUACUGUGAUUUACACCAUUAAGCACAUCAGCAAGUAUCAGCCUUUCUCAAACUGUGUCUGUAAUUUAUUACCAUGUAACUAGUGGUCAAUGAAAUGUUAACAUGUGUCCUAUGAAAGGUUUCUGUGUUCAAAGAAAUUUGGGUUAAAAAAUGGCCCUUUAAUGGAAAGACUAUUCAAAGCCUAAGGCUCUUAUGCACUGUGAACAAGAGAGAGUAUGUUCUGUUUGCCAAAUUUAUUUGAUCUCGGGAGCUCUCCUUGUUUUGGAUGGUCUCCAUUUCUAUAGCUGUAUUCAUUAUUAGUCUCCUUCAUUUGGUAAAUUGUAUACGUAGUUCAUUUCUGGGAGAGAGGUUAGGUCUUUUAAUCUUUUCCUUGAAAUGUUCUGUGUUACGAGAACUUCUAUAUAUUUUACAGCUCAGAACUUUGUUGGGGUACGUGGAGAACAAAAAGGAGAGGUCAGGGGCAAGGGUCUAGACCCUGAGGGUCAGCAGAUCUGGCUCAAUGGGAGGAGUUACACAGCCUGGAGAAAGAGUGGGUUAUGCAGAGAAAAUGGUGAAGUGGGUGGCUGUCCACACAAGGGCGAUGUGAAAAGGCAAGCCAGAGACAUGAGACUCUUGCAGUAAAGCAGAGUCAAGGUGGAAGAGGAGAAAAAAGACAAAAGGUGAAAGUGCUGUUCCAUGAGCGUGCUUGGCCCUGUGAAGGGGGGGUGGGUGGUGGUGGUACGGUGCCUGUAUGGACUCUCACAGCCAAGCGUCACUUAGGCUGUCACCACUGAGACUGAGGCAGAAAUAAGCCGGGCGGGAGAGGCAGUGGAACAGAUUUGCAUUCAACUCCUGCUCCCUGGUUCCUGGUUUGUGGCUUAGAGUAAGUGCCUUCAACUCUGUCUCAUCUCUUGACCACUCAGAGCAGGUAGGAGGUUUAAUGAGAUAACGAGAGCAAGCCUUCCCUGUCAUUGUGGACACACCCAAGGCACGAUCCUCAGCCUCUUACUCUUACCUUGGUGUGGGGCUCAGAGUCCCUUUAUCUGUCUUGGAUUUCACCUUCCACCCAUCUGACUUCAUCUUCCCCUCCACACGUCUUCCUUUCCCUAUAUUGGGCUUAGGGCGGUUCACCCUCGGGGAUUCUGGACAAAGAGUUUCCCAAUAACUGGGGCUUUGCUGCUCUGAGAACUGACUGACCCCCAGCCUGGAGAUGGAAUCUAAAAUUGGAAGCUGGAUGAGCAGAGCAGCUCCCCACACCUAAUGACCCUGUUUCCUGGUGGCCGUCUCAGACUGAGAGAUCCCUCUGGGGAUCGAUGGCUGCCUGUUCACUCCAUUUCUGUAUGUCGCAUUAAAUCUCUGCCAAACAUUUAAAAAGAAUUCUUAACUCCAAUAUGACGGGCCUGUUGGCAGUGUGAAAUUAAGAGAUUUUUUAAUGGUGUGUUUUUUUUCUUUGCCACUUGACUCUAUUCAUUACAUAUUCUUUUUUGAAAUGUGAAUCCAAACUUCCAUUGUAUACUUUUUUUCCUGCCAUUAUUGUACAUGAUGAUCUCUGUCUAUUACAUCUGAAAGAAAGAACACUGGAAGGUCUGAAAUGGCUGUUGUCAGCUUUCAGAAUUCCAGACAGAUGACUUCAAUCUAUCUGAAGGAACAAUGGAUUAUUUAGGAGAGUUGCUAAGAUGCUAACCUUGCAGAACAUUGUGCUUUUAAAAGUGUUGAAUGAGUAAAUUUAGAAAAUUUCUUAUUUCCCCUCUGAUUUGUAAAUGUAAUAGAAGUUCAUUGUAAAAACUAGAAAUGCAGAAAACUAUCAUCAAAAUUAAAAUUAUAGCAUAUUCUUUCAUUUUCUAAGCCUCUCUCUCAUAAACUAAUUAGUGAUCAUACUGCAUGCAUGGGUUGUCUUCAUUUAUUUAAUACUGUAUUAUGAAGAAUUUCUUACCUCAUUAAAUAAUCUUCCAUUCAUGAUUUUAAUAGCUACUUUGCUAUGUGGACGUGCCACAGAUUAUUUAGCCUAUCUCUUAUUGCUACAUUCCCCUAUUGUUGGGUAUUUAGGUUGCUGCUAAUUAUUUUUUGAAUGAUAAAUAUCGCCAUGAUGAACAUCGUUGUACAAAUAUCCCUGUGUGCAUCUCUAAUUUCCUUAGAGUUAUUUCUGAAAAAGCAUGCCCUAAUGAAAGACCCUGGAUCUGUGAUUCCAAAUGGACUUCUGGAACCAUGGAACCAAUUUGCAUUCUCAUCAGAGACUGAUGGCCAUUCUGCUGCACUUCACUGACCUAGGUACAAAACAACCCAACACAAAGCAAAAGCAAACGAAGCAACAUUGCCGAUUUACUAUGUGAACGAUAUCAUCUCAUCAUUGCGUUAUGUUACAUUUCUCUGAAUUCACAGGAGGUCGACUGUUUUAUCUACUGUUUUCAGUAGCCCCUUCAUCUGUGGUUUCACUCUCCUCAGUUUCAGUUACGCUCGGUCAACCGCAGUCUGCAAGUUGAUCCUCCUGAUGAAUCAAUCACAUCGCCAGAAGAGCUGGGAGGAAGUUGCUGGAAGGAAGAGAGAGAGCGCCAGUUGGCCUAGUUCUAGGUACAGCCCAAUGGUCCUGACUGUGGCCCAUUUUUGGAAUUAAUUACGAAGAUUUCUCUUCCCUUAUCACAUGGAAGAUAAAAUUUGUGUAACUUGAGCUUUUGAUAUAAUGAUCCUGGAAGAUUGAUGAAAAAUAUUUAAGGCAGCAUUUCUCAAUCUUGGCACCAGGAACAUUUCAGGUCAGAUGAUUUUUCUGUUGCAUGGGCUUCCCUGUGCAUUAUAGGGUGUUUAGCAGUAUCUCUGGCUUUUACCCACUGGAUGCCAGUAACAAAACCCCUAUCUCCCAGUUGUGACAACCCAAAAUGUCUCUAAACAUUGCCAAAUGUUCCAGAGUAGGCAGAGGCAAAACCACUCCUGGAUAAGAACAAUUAUUUUAACAUGUCCUGUGGAACACCUAGCUUUUAGGAAUGCCACAGUUCCUGAACUCUUAAUCGGCCAUAUUUUAGAUCACGAAGUAUCAACAAGAUAAACAUUUUAAUGGAAUUUCUGGAAGCAUGAAUAGCAACAGCUGUGUUGCUAUUUUUCUUUCCAGCCAGUGCUUUUUUGGACAGGAUGUGGAUUAUUGUGAAGACAUGAGAAGUCUGCAUUUGGAAGUCCUAUCACUUAGGGGUUACUCAGGGACAGAGUGGCCACUCUGGGUAUUUUAAUCAGAGAAUGUAUAUGGAGAACUGGGAGGUCACAGAAUCCUUCGAAGAGUGGGGCAUGAGAGUCCAGGUCCGGGAGGGUGCUGCUGGCUUUCAAGAAAUCCGGAAAACAGGAGUCAUAGAGAAGCUUGCUUGGAGAACAGAGGUUGCAGUCUGCACAGCUUUGUAGCUGCAGUGUGAAUCAUUUUUAGGAGGCGACCUGCAAGCUGCUGGUGCGUCCACAUAUCUGCCGUUGGCUGAUGCCCCUGAGCCUGUCUGUAGCUGCUGUGGGACAGAAUAAUGGCUCCUCCUUCGCUUCUCCACGCCUCGUACAAAUGCCUCUCCAGCAGUCAUAUCGAACUACAGUGCUGCUGGCCAGGGAGUCUCUGAAAUGUAGUUUCUAGGCUUUCUGCUCUGGAGUACCAGGAAGAUGCUGCGAAGGAGGGCAUCAUGCAGAUUGAGACAAAUGGAGAGGAUAUUGUAACAAGGCCGUGCAUCCUUAAUCAAGUGUCCCUUUUUAAGCAUCAGAUUCUAAGAGGGACAGAGCUUACUCCUG
Molecule: long non-coding RNA, 3926 nt
Organism: Acinonyx jubatus (cheetah)
Lineage: Eukaryota; Metazoa; Chordata; Mammalia; Carnivora; Felidae
Exons: 3
Source: RefSeq, a predicted model, not a curated record